GAUGAACGCUGGCGGCGUGCUUAACACAUGCAAGUCGAACGGGAAUUACAUUUUAGCUUGCUAAGUUGUAAUUCUAGUGGCGGACGGGUGAGUAACGCGUGGGUAACCUGCCUUAUACCGGGGGACAACAGUUGGAAACGACUGCUAAUACCGCAUAAGCGCACGGGAAGGCAUCUUUCUGUGUGAAAAACUCCGGUGGUAUAAGAUGGACCCGCGUCUGAUUAGCCAGUUGGCGGUGUAACGGACCACCAAAGCGACGAUCAGUAGCCGGCCUGAGAGGGCAAACGGCCACAUUGGGACUGAGACACGGCCCAAACUCCUACGGGAGGCAGCAGUGGGGAAUAUUGCACAAUGGAGGAAACUCUGAUGCAGCGACGCCGCGUGAGUGAAGAAGUAUUUCGGUAUGUAAAGCUCUAUCAGCAGGAAAGAAAAUGACGGUAC
RNAcentral lists this ribosomal RNA (441 nucleotides) under bacterium XBB4001. RNAcentral describes it as "bacterial SSU rRNA". It matches the Rfam family "Bacterial small subunit ribosomal RNA", at positions 28 to 478 of the family's 1533-position model. The record is from RNAcentral.